CCCAUUACCUUCGAUAAUAGAGUUCGAGGUCAGGCCACUGUCGGACCGACUCUACCCUGCUCAUCUACUUCGAUGGUGGUGGAAGCAACUUAGUGAGUUCUUCGAUGACAAAUGUACUUCUAGUGAGUUCUUCGAUGAUCAAUGUACUUCCGAUAGAGAAUAUCUAUCCCUUGGGGAUAAUCGGUAAGACUCGGACGGCAAGUGCUGAUG
This 210-nucleotide long non-coding RNA is filed under the name Elaeis guineensis (African oil palm). RNAcentral's name for it is "long non-coding RNA (EGUI_LNC003205)". Lineage: Eukaryota; Viridiplantae; Streptophyta; Magnoliopsida; Arecales; Arecaceae. The record is from RNAcentral.